This 238-nucleotide ribosomal RNA is filed under the name uncultured bacterium. Its description in RNAcentral is "partial 16S ribosomal RNA". It matches the Rfam family "Bacterial small subunit ribosomal RNA", at positions 338 to 593 of the family's 1533-position model. The record is from RNAcentral.
CCUACGGGGGGCAGCAGUGGGGAAUAUUGGACAAUGGGGGGAACCCUGAUCCAGCGACGCCGCGUGAGUGAAGAAGUAUUUCGGUAUGUAAAGCUCUAUCAGCAGGGAAGAAAAUGACGGUACCUGACUAAGAAGCCCCGGCUAACUACGUGCCAGCAGCCGCGGUAAUACGUAGGGGGCAAGCGUUAUCCGGAUUUAUUGGGGUGAAAGGGUGCGUAGGAGGUCCGUUAAGUCAGCG